Molecule: ribosomal RNA, 378 nt
Filed under: uncultured eukaryote
Lineage: Eukaryota
Description: partial 18S ribosomal RNA
Rfam family: Eukaryotic small subunit ribosomal RNA
Source: RNAcentral
CAAUAGCGUAUAUUUAAGUUGUUGCAGUUAAAAAGCUCGUAGUUGGAUUUCGGGUGGGACGCAGCGGUCUCGCAUUGCGUUUGUACUGCUGCAGCCCUCCUUCUUGCCGGGGGCGGCCUCUCGGACUUCACUGUCUGGGGGUCAGAAUCGGCGAUGUUACUUUGAGUAAAUUAGAGUGUUCAAAGCAAGCUUACGCUCUGAAUAUAAUAGCAUGGGAUAACACGACAGGACUCUGGCCUAUCGUGUUGGUCUAUAGGACCAGAGUAAUGAUUAAGAGGGACAGUCGGGGGCAUUCGUAUUCCGUUGUCAGAGGUGAAAUUCUUGGAUUUACGGAAGACGAACAUCUGCGAAAGCAUUUGCCAAGGAUGGUUUCAUUGA